RNAcentral lists this long non-coding RNA (878 nucleotides) under Felis catus (domestic cat). RNAcentral describes it as "lncRNA (ENSFCAG00000047110.1)". The record is from RNAcentral. Lineage: Eukaryota; Metazoa; Chordata; Mammalia; Carnivora; Felidae.
AUGGCUGCAAGCUUUACCCAGAGACACAGCAAGCUGGACUCUGCCAGGAGGCCUUUGGGUACAGCCAGCAGGAAAGAUGAACCCGGGCUCCUGGCAUCCUGGACCCUUCCUGACACGGCACAGCCAUCCAGGAAAGUGAUUUGCUUAAGGAUAGUUGAGUCCCCUGACCUACCUUAUAUGAAGAACACGUGUGAAGGCAACUGUUCUAGACUACGGGUGGGAGCAUCAGUGCUUUGACGAUACCCAGAUGGCACAGCGGCUGCUACAAUUCAGGUAUGUGAACUUUCUACGCAGGUGACUGACAAAAGUAGAUUCUGAGAAGCAAACGGGGUGAAAAGUUCUGAAUAGCUUCCAUUUGCCCCAGUGGACCCACUUUCUCUACCUUUGAGUCUAGUAACAUUAAUCAAUAUGAACUACAUCAGUGGGAUUCCUUGCCUUGUGGCCUUUGGUUGGGUUUGGUCAAUGGGGACCCUAGGCAUGAAAUCAGAAGGAUGAAAGAAGGGGACGUCUAGCUCUGGCUAUUUCUUGCAGAACGUGGAGCUGGAUGCUACCCCCGACCCCCUCCCCCCAGCUCCUGGAAUGCAGUUCUUUCCUCUCUUGUCUGUGGAUUUCAGUAAUUGUUCCCUUCUCUUAUCCUUUCAGGGGUAGGGAUGUUAAUAGAGCCCUGGCCUUACCCGCUACUGGGUACCAACGACUUCUUGUGGUUUUCCUCCAUCCUGUCCACAACUCUGUGAGUAGCCUCUUUAUGAAAACUCUACUUGAAGUGUCCUAGUCUGUGUCAGUUGCUUCCUGCUGGGACUCUGACUGGCAUGCCAGCUCAUUCAAAGUAUAAGAAAAAGUCCUAAUGGGACAAUAAAAUCCAACAAGAUCAAGAUCCA